AAAGGUACUCAAGGGCGUUAAAUGGAUGCCUAGACGUAUAUUACCGAUGAAGGACGUGGAAGACUGCGAUAAGCCUCGGGAAGCUGUCAACAAGCUUUGAUCCGGGGAUUUCCGAAUGGGGAAACCUAGUAUGAGUCAUGUCAUAUUGCCAAUAGCUGAACACAUAGGCUAUUAGAGCGGGAACUGUCUGAACUGAAACAUCUUAGUAAGACAAGGAAAAGAAAGUAAAUAACGAUGGCGGGAGUAGUGGCGAGCGAAACCGUUAGAGCCCAAACCUUUUAAGUUUCUUUCUGUUUACAGAAAGAUAAGCUGAUAGGCGAAUACUUAACAAGGGGUUGUGAUAUUACAUACGACCAAACUAGAGCGUUGAAAUUUAUUUCAGCAAUCUGGUUUGCGAUUGCGGGCUAUCAACUAGCAAGUAAGGUAAAAAAUCGGCGUGGUUAGCAGAAUAGUUUGAAUGACUAACCAAAGAACGUGAAAGUCGCGUAUGCGAAAACGACGCUGACCUUAUGUGUGUUUUAUUGAGUAAAACGGGGCACGAGAAACCCUGUUUGAAUCUGGCUGGACCACCAGCCAAGGCUAAAUAUAAUAUACGAUCGAUAGUGAACUAGUACAGUGAUGGAAAGGUGAAAAGAACCCCGGGAGGGGAGUGAAAUAGAUCCUGAAAUUUAACGCCUACAAGGAGUCGGAGCGGGCUUGUCCCGUGACGGCGUGCUUUUUGUAGAACGAUCCAGCGAGUUAAUUUUAUCAGCGAGGUUAAGUCAAUUGACGGAGCCACAGUGAAAGCGAGCCUGAAUAGGGCGAUUAGUUGAUAGGAUUAGACCCGAAACCGGGUGACCUAACCAUGAGCAGGCUGAAGCUACUGUAACAGGUAGUGAAGGGCCGAACCGUAGAGCGCAGUAAAGCUCCCGGAUGACUUGUGGUUAGCGGUGAAAUGCCAAUCGAACUCGGAGAUAGCUGGUUCUCCUCGAAAUAACUUUAGGGUUAGCGUCGUGUGGUA
This 1000-nucleotide ribosomal RNA is filed under the name Candidatus Saccharimonadota bacterium. RNAcentral's name for it is "partial 23S ribosomal RNA". It matches the Rfam family "Bacterial large subunit ribosomal RNA", at positions 1 to 891 of the family's 2925-position model. Lineage: Bacteria; Candidatus Saccharimonadota. The record is from RNAcentral.